UAAGGAAUAUUGGUCAAUGGGCGGAAGCCUGAACCAGCCAUGCCGCGUGCAGGAAGACGGCCCUACGGGUUGUAAACUGCUUUUGCAGGGGAAUAAACCUUGGUAUGUAUACUGAGUUGAAUGUACUCUGAGAAUAAGGAUCGGCUAACUCCGUGCCAGCAGCCGCGGUAAUACGGAGGAUCCGAGCGUUAUCCGGAUUUAUUGGGUUUAAAGGGUGCGUAGGCGGCCUGUUAAGUCAGGGGUGAAAGACGGUAGCUUAACUAUCGCAGUGCCCUUGAUACUGAUGGGCUUGAAUGUAGUUGAGGUAGGCGGAAUGUGACAAGUAGCGGUGAAAUGCAUAGAUAUGUCACAGAACACCAAUUGCGAAGGCAGCUUACUAAAGUAUGAUUGACGCUGAGGCACGAAAGCGUGGGGAUCAAACAGGAUUAGAUACCCGUGUAGUCC
This 444-nucleotide ribosomal RNA is filed under the name uncultured bacterium. RNAcentral describes it as "bacterial SSU rRNA". It matches the Rfam family "Bacterial small subunit ribosomal RNA", at positions 355 to 796 of the family's 1533-position model. The record is from RNAcentral.